GGGUGAGUAACACGUAGGUGACCUGCCCCAGAGAGGAGAAUAACCAUGCGAAAGCGUGGCUAAUACUCCAUACGGUCGGCCAUUCGUUUGGUCGAUUAAAGCUACGGCGCUCUGGGAGGGGCCUGCGGCCCAUCAGCUAGUUGGUAGGGUAAUGGCCUACCAAGGCUAUGACGGGUAGCUGGUCUGAGAGGACGAUCAGCCACAAUGGGACUGAAACACGGCCCAUACUUCUACGGAAGGCAGCAGUGAGGAAUAUUGGACAAUCAACGAAAGUUGGAUCCAGCAACGCCGCGUGGAUGAUGAAGGCCUUCGGGUUGUAAAAUCCUUUUAAGAGGGAAGAGUAAGGACGGUACCUCUUGAAUUAAGUCUCGGCUAACUACGUGCCAGCAGCCGCGGUAACACGUAGGAGGCUAGCGUUAUCCGGAUUUAUUGGGCGUAAAGUGCGCGCAGGCGGCUAGGUAAGUCGGGUGUGAAAGCUCCGAGCUCAACUCGGAGAGGUCACUCGAUACUGCCUGGCUUGAGAGCGGGAGAGGGAAGUAGAAUUCUGGGUGUAGUGGUGAAAUGCGUAGAUAUCCAGAGGAAUACCAGUGGCGAAGGCGGCUUCCUGGCCCGUUUCUGACGCUGAGGCGCGAAAGCGUGGGUAGCGAACGGAAUUAGAAACUCCGGUAGUCCACGCCGUAAACGAUGGGUACUAGGUGUGGGGAGUAUUAACCCCUCUCCGUGCCGCAGCAAACGCGUUAAGUACCCCGCCUGCAGACUACGGCCGCAAGGCUAAAGCGCAAAGGAAUUGACGGGGGCCCGCACAAGCAGUGGAGCGUGUGGUUCAAUUCGAAAAUACACGAAGAACCUUACCUGGGUUUGACAUGUUAGUAGUAGUGAAGCGAAAGCGGAACGAUCCUUCGGGAAGCUAUCACAGGUGCUGCAUGGCUGUCGUCAGCUCGUGCCGUGAGGUGUUGGGUUAAGUCCUGUAACGAGCGCAACCCUUACUGCCAGUUACAAGUGUCUGGCGGAACUGCCGGUGUCAAACCGGAGGAAGGUGAGGAUGACGUCAAGUCAGCAUGGCCUUUAUAUCCAGGGCUACACACACGCUACAAUGGCCGGCACAAUAGGUUGCCAAGCCGCGAGGCGGAGCUAAUCCUUAAAGUCGGUCUCAGUUCGGAUUGUAGGCUGCAACCCGCCUGCAUGAAGUUGGAGUUGCUAGUAACCGCGCGUCAGCAAUAGUGCGGUGAAUACGUUCCCGGGCCUUGUACACACCGCCCGUCACGUCAUGGGAGUUGAUAACACCUGAAGUCGGUG
Molecule: ribosomal RNA, 1296 nt
Filed under: metagenome
Description: bacterial SSU rRNA
Rfam family: Bacterial small subunit ribosomal RNA
Source: RNAcentral